RNAcentral lists this ribosomal RNA (253 nucleotides) under uncultured bacterium. RNAcentral's name for it is "partial 16S ribosomal RNA". It matches the Rfam family "Bacterial small subunit ribosomal RNA", at positions 524 to 776 of the family's 1533-position model. The record is from RNAcentral.
UACGGAGGGGGCUAGCGUUGUUCGGAAUUACUGGGCGUAAAGCGCACGUAGGCGGCUUUGUAAGUUAGAGGUGAAAGCCCGGAGCUCAACUCCGGAAUUGCCUUUAAGACUGCAUCGCUAGAAUUGUGGAGAGGUAAGUGGAAUUCCGAGUGUAGAGGUGAAAUUCGUAGAUAUUCGGAAGAACACCAGUGGCAAAGGCGACUUACUGGACACAUAUUGACGCUGAGGUGCGAAAGCGUGGGGAGCAAACAGG